UGGGAUUAGAUACCCCACUAUGCCUGGCCCUAAAUAUUGAUGUUCGACCCCCUACCUGAACAUCCGCCCGAGAACUACGAGCACAAACGCUUAAAACUUUAAGGACUUGGCGGUGCCCCAAACCCACCUAGAGGAGCCUGUUCUGUAAUCGAUGAUCCACGAUAUUACCUGACCAUUUCUCGCAAUAAGCAGCCUAUAUACCGCCGUCGCCAGCUCACCUUCCCUGACAGCCCAACAGUGAGCGCAAUAGCCCCAUCCCGCUAAUAAGACAGGUCAAGGUAUAGCCUAUGGAAUGGAAGCAAUGGGCUACAUUUUCUAGCAUAGAACAUAACGGCAAAGGGACAUGAAACUGUCCCUAGAAGGAGGAUUUAGCAGUAAAGUGGGACAAUCGAGCCCUCUUUAAGCCGGCUCUGGGGCACGUACAUACCGCCCGUCACCCUCCUCGCAAGCGACCAACACACCCUAUACCUAAUAAGCCAUUCAGCUAAAGAUGAGGUAAGUCGUAACAAGGUAAGUGUACCGGAAGGUGCACUUAGAUACCAGAUGUAGGUUUUCCAGAAGG
Molecule: ribosomal RNA, 562 nt
Filed under: Phylloscopus proregulus (Pallas's leaf-warbler)
Lineage: Eukaryota; Metazoa; Chordata; Aves; Passeriformes; Phylloscopidae
Description: Abrornis proregulus (Pallas's leaf-warbler) partial 12S ribosomal RNA
Rfam family: Bacterial small subunit ribosomal RNA
Source: RNAcentral